This is a long non-coding RNA of Oncorhynchus gorbuscha (pink salmon), 1199 nucleotides long. RefSeq lists it as uncharacterized. The transcript is spliced from 3 exons. The record is from RefSeq and is a predicted model, not a curated record. Lineage: Eukaryota; Metazoa; Chordata; Actinopteri; Salmoniformes; Salmonidae.
AUAAGAGAGACAGCUACUUUCCUGGACCCCGGGAAAAGUAACUGCUGCUUCUGCAAAAACAAAUGUGGAUCAAAAUAAACAAAAUAAUAACCACAGACGAUACAGAGCGAGCGAUGGAGAGAGGCAGAGGAGGGGCCCCUCUGCUGGUGGAGAGCAGAUGCUGGAAGAGUGUGGGACUGCUGUACCAAUUGUCCACAUACAAAGUGUGUCCCUUGCUGAGAUGAGGAGCCAGCAUGGUCAUCACCACGGACCUGGACACCCCCUCAUGCUCAUCAAUGCAUAGGUCCUUUUAUGGCACAAAGACUCAACCAAAUGCUAUUGUCAGGCUGCUCCAAGGCAUAGCGAUUGGUCUCUACUAUGUCUCCCACCAGCUACUCUGUCAGAAGCAACUUGAAGCACUCUGCCUCAGAUGGAAAUGGCAAGGGCUGUUGCACUCCAGACUGGGACUCAUCAAAGCAAACAGCAGGGCCAGGAGGGGUGAAAUGGCUGGCAGCCUUCCAGCUACCACAGAACUCCUGUACUUCACCCACUGUUGGUCUUCCUCCAUCACCACCAGCAUAGAUUGUAAUGGGCACAUAUUAUGUAUGUAAAAUACUUUUUUAAGGUUGUACUGAUUAUGAUGAGCUAAGCCAAUUCCAGCUAUGUGUGUGGAGCCAUGUUUGUUGACAUACAAUGCAUUCUGAGUUUCACAUAAUCGUCUGUCGGACCAAAGAUGCUAUAACAAAAUGAGGUGAGUAAGGGUUCAUUCAUUUUUUGGGAACUUCAGGAAGUCAAUAGUGGGAUGUGAAUGAUGUUAGAUGACACACCCCUUCAACAUACAUACUAUAAACAGACCAAACUCAUCUUGUCUUCUCUUAUUAUCUUUGGUUUCUGUGAGGAAAAGAAGCAUGGUGGUGUGCUGAAACUAAUCAUCAUCGGGUUCCUUUCGAUUUCUAGAAAGUGUUUUACUCAAUUAUUUCUAUAAAUGGUGAGCUCACCCGUGAUGUGAUUCAUUAUAAAUAGUAAUUGCUAUUAGCUAAUUCAUAUUGUAGUUUGUCAGCCGAGAGUUAUAAAAGUAUGACCGCUUGUGUUUCGUCAAUCUUUCCUCAGUUAGUGCCAGGGCAAAUGUAGCCUACAUUCUUCCGGUUUGGAUGAUUGUGUUAUGCUAUAGAUACUUCUGUGAAUAUCUGAACAUUGCAUCCAAAAAUAAACUGCUCACA